Molecule: ribosomal RNA, 483 nt
Filed under: uncultured bacterium
Lineage: Bacteria
Description: SSU rRNA
Rfam family: Bacterial small subunit ribosomal RNA
Source: RNAcentral
AGGACGAACGCUGGCGGCGUGCUUAACACAUGCAAGUGGAGCGACGAACCAGGCUUCGGCCUGGGGCAGAGCCGCGAACGGGUGAGUAACACGUGGGUAACGUGCCCCGAUGAUUGGGACAACCCGAGGAAACUCGGGCUAAUACCAAAUGUGCCCUCCGGCCAUAAGGCCGCUGGGGAAAGGAAGCUUCGGCCUCCGCAUCGGGAUCGGCCCGCGGCCCAUUAGCUUGUUGGUGAGGUAACGGCUCACCAAGGCUACGAUGGGUAGCUGGUCUGAGAGGACGAUCAGCCACACUGGGACUGAGACACGGCCCAGACUCCUACGGGAGGCAGCAGUGGGGAAUAUUGCACAAUGGGGGAAACCCUGAUGCAGCGACGCCGCGUGCGGGAUGAAGGCCUUCGGGUUGUAACCGCUUUCAGCAGGGGCGAAUUCAGACGGUACCUGCAGAAGAGCGCCGGCUAACUACGUGCCAGCAGCCGCGGU